GAUGAAGAACGCAGCGAAAUGCGAUAAGUAAUGUGAAUUGCAGAAUUCAGUGAAUCAUCGAAUCUUUGAACGCACCUUGCGCCUUUUGGUAUUCCGAAAGGCACACCUGUUUGAGCGUCAUGAAUACCUCAAUCUCCAUCUUUUCUUCGGAUUGAUGGGUGACUUGGAUGUUGAGCCCUGCUGGUAUGCUAUAUCAGCUGGCUUUAAUCUUAUUAGCCGGCUCUGUACUGGAUCGGUUUGACUCGACGUGAUAAUAUUAUCGUUGAGGAUGCAUGUCUCAUGCAGCCGGAAAGUAUCAAAGCAGCUUCUAGCUUGCCUUUAGUGCACUUUUACAUUUUAGACCUCAGAUCAGGUGGGACUACCCGCUGAACUUAAGCAUAUCAAUAAGCGGAGGA
This 395-nucleotide unclassified non-coding RNA is filed under the name soil metagenome. Its description in RNAcentral is "partial contains 5.8S ribosomal RNA, internal transcribed spacer 2, and large subunit ribosomal RNA". The stretch from base 1 to 120 matches the Rfam family "5.8S ribosomal RNA", at positions 35 to 154 of the family's 154-position model. The record is from RNAcentral.